Molecule: ribosomal RNA, 680 nt
Filed under: uncultured crenarchaeote
Lineage: Archaea; Thermoproteati; Thermoproteota
Description: bacterial SSU rRNA
Rfam family: Archaeal small subunit ribosomal RNA
Source: RNAcentral
GCCUCCAAGCCAUGGAGGAGGCGCGGCGCACAGCUCAGUAACGCGUGGUUAACCUGCCCUUGGGAUGGGAACACCCCCGGGAAACUGGGGCUAAUUUCCAAUAGGUGAAGACUCCUGGAAUGGAUCUUUGCCUAAAGGGCGCUUAGACCAUGCUUCUAGGCGUUGCCCAAGGAUGGGGCCGCGGCCGAUCAGGUUGUUGGUGAGGUAAUGGCUCACCAAGCCUUUAACCGGUACGGGCCGUGGGAGCGGGAGCCCGGAGAUGGGCACUGAGACAAGGGCCCAGGCCCUACGGGGCGCAGCAGUCGCGAAAACUCCGCAAUACGCGAAGGCGUGACGGGGUCAUCCCGAGUGCCGUCCGCUGAGGAUGGCUUUUCCCCAUUGUAGAUAGCUGGGGGAAUAAGGAGAGGGCAAGUCUGGUGUCAGCCGCCGCGGUAAUACCAGCUCUCCGAGUGGUGGGGAUGUUUAUUGGGCCUGACGCAUCCGUAGCCGGCUGGGCACGUCCCCAGUUAAAUCCAACGAUCUAAUCGUUGGACUGCUGAGGAUACUGUCCGGCUAGGGGGCGGGAGAGGUCGACGGUAUCCCGGGGUAGGGGUGAAAUCUAUAAUCCCGGAAGGACCACAGUGGCGAAGGCUGUCGGCUAGAACAUGCCCGACGGCGCAGGGAUGAAAGCUGGGGGAGCG